This 112-nucleotide ribosomal RNA is filed under the name Notechis scutatus (mainland tiger snake). The record is from RNAcentral. Lineage: Eukaryota; Metazoa; Chordata; Lepidosauria; Squamata; Elapidae.
CUCAAUAGGUUGCAGCACGUCAUCAACCUUGUCUGGACAUGGGGGCUAAGCAGGUCAGCCCUAGUUAGUAUUGGAAUGGAGGACUAUCAGGAAAUCCCAGAAUCUGUAGGCU